GGCACAUCUCCUCUCCCUACCAUUAAAUGUGCAGUAAAUGUGCACCAUCCUUCCAUUCAGAGGCCUGUCUUGGACCCAUUCAUUGGCUAUGAUGAAGACUCCAUGGAUUCAGAGACAUCAUCCAUGGCCUCAUUUAGAACAGACCGGACACCAGCGACUCCUGAUGAUGACUUGGAUGAAAGUUUAGCAGCUGAAGAAUCAGAGCUACGAUUUAGACAAUUAACGAAAGAAUACCAGGCACUCCAAAGAGCAUAUGCCCUCCUACAAGAGCAGACCGGAGGCAUCAUCGAUGCAGAACGGGAAGCCAAGGUCAGUGCCCAGCAGUGGAGAGAGAGCUGUCACUUUGCUAAAAGAGUUUAAAUAUUAAUCUGGUGAUAAAGGGACCCAGAAGGAACCUUCAGCAAGA
This 406-nucleotide long non-coding RNA is filed under the name Chinchilla lanigera (long-tailed chinchilla). RNAcentral's name for it is "lncRNA (ENSCLAG00000025059.1)". The record is from RNAcentral. Lineage: Eukaryota; Metazoa; Chordata; Mammalia; Rodentia; Chinchillidae.